GACGAACGCUGGCGGCGUGCUUAACACAUGCAAGUCGAACGGAAAGGCCCUGCUUUUGUGGGGUGCUCGAGUGGCGAACGGGUGAGUAACACGUGAGUAACCUGCCCUUGACUUUGGGAUAACUUCAGGAAACUGGGGCUAAUACCGGAUAGGAGCUCCUGCUGCAUGGUGGGGGUUGGAAAGUUUCGGCGGUUGGGGAUGGACUCGCGGCUUAUCAGCUUGUUGGUGGGGUAGUGGCUUACCAAGGCUUUGACGGGUAGCCGGCCUGAGAGGGUGACCGGCCACAUGGGGACUGAGAUACGGCCCAGACUCCUACGGGAGGCAGCAGUGGGGAAUAUUGCACAAUGGGCGGAAGCCUGAUGCAGCAACGCCGCGUGCGGGAUGACGGCCUUCGGGUUGUAAACCGCUUUCGCCUGUGACGAAGCGUGAGUGACGGUAAUGGGUAAAGAAGCACCGGCGAACUACGG
This 467-nucleotide ribosomal RNA is filed under the name uncultured bacterium. RNAcentral's name for it is "partial 16S ribosomal RNA". It matches the Rfam family "Bacterial small subunit ribosomal RNA", at positions 28 to 506 of the family's 1533-position model. The record is from RNAcentral.